UACGUAGGGGGCAUGCGUUAUCCGGAUUUACUGGGUGUAAAGGGAGCGUAGACGGCGAUGCAAGCCAGAUGUGAAAGCCCGGGGCUCAACCCCGGGACUGCAUUUGGAACUGUAUAGCUAGAGUGUCGGAGAGGCAGGCGGAAUUCCUAGUGUAGCGGUGAAAUGCGUAGAUAUUAGGAGGAACACCAGUGGCGAAGGCGGCCUGCUGGACGAUGACUGACGUUGAGGCUCGAAAGCGUGGGGAGCAAACAGG
RNAcentral lists this ribosomal RNA (253 nucleotides) under uncultured bacterium. RNAcentral's name for it is "partial 16S ribosomal RNA". It matches the Rfam family "Bacterial small subunit ribosomal RNA", at positions 524 to 776 of the family's 1533-position model. The record is from RNAcentral.